RNAcentral lists this ribosomal RNA (400 nucleotides) under phytoplankton environmental sample. RNAcentral's name for it is "partial small subunit ribosomal RNA". It matches the Rfam family "Eukaryotic small subunit ribosomal RNA", at positions 587 to 988 of the family's 1831-position model. The record is from RNAcentral.
AGCUCCAUUAGCGUAUAUUAAAGUUGUUGCAGUUAAAAAGCUCGUAGUUGGAUUUCGGUGUGGGCCAGUCGGUCGGCCGCAAGGCUUGUUCACUGGCUGGUCUGCUCUCUCAAUCUCAAAGACUGCACGUGCUCUUCACUGUAGUGUGUGUCAGGAUUUGGGACGUUUACUUUGAAAAAAUUAGAGUGUUCAAAGCAGGCUAUCGCUUGAAUACAUGAGCAUGGAAUAAUGGAAUAGGACUUUGGUCCUAUUUUGUUGGUUUCUAGGACCGAAGUAAUGAUUAAGAGGGACAAUUGGGGGCAUCCGUAUUUCGUUGUCAGAGGUGAAAUUCUUGGAUUUACGAAAGACGAACAACUGCGAAAGCACUUGCCAAGAGUGUUUUCAUUAAUCAAGAACGAAA